AAGGUAGUUCAGUUGGUUAGAGCACCUGUCUGAUACGCAGGAAAUCAUGGGUUCGAUUCCCAUCCUU
This 67-nucleotide transfer RNA is filed under the name bovine gut metagenome. It matches the Rfam family "tRNA". Rfam says of the family: Transfer RNA (tRNA) molecules are approximately 80 nucleotides in length. The record is from RNAcentral.